RNAcentral lists this transfer RNA (87 nucleotides) under Acidobacteriota bacterium. RNAcentral describes it as "Acidobacteria bacterium (rhizosphere metagenome) tRNA-Leu". It matches the Rfam family "tRNA". From Rfam's summary of the family: Transfer RNA (tRNA) molecules are approximately 80 nucleotides in length. Their secondary structure includes four short double-helical elements and three loops (D, anti-codon, and T loops). Further hydrogen bonds mediate the characteristic L-shaped molecular structure. tRNAs have two regions of fundamental functional importance: the anti-codon, which is responsible for specific mRNA codon recognition, and the 3' end, to which the tRNAs corresponding amino acid is attached (by aminoacyl-tRNA synthetases). tRNAs cope with the degeneracy of the genetic code in two manners: having more than one tRNA (with a specific anti-codon) for a particular amino acid; and 'wobble' base-pairing, i.e. permitting non-standard base-pairing at the 3rd anti-codon position. RNAcentral also lists the same sequence under 2 other names. The record is from RNAcentral. Lineage: Bacteria; Pseudomonadati; Acidobacteriota.
GCCGAAGUGGCGGAACUGGCAGACGCGCAUGGUUCAGGUCCAUGUGCCCGCAAGGGCGUGGGGGUUCGAGUCCCUUCUUCGGCACCA